Molecule: transfer RNA, 63 nt
Filed under: Melyridae sp. GENSP01
Lineage: Eukaryota; Metazoa; Arthropoda; Insecta; Coleoptera; Melyridae
Description: tRNA-Asp
Source: RNAcentral
GUAAUUUUAGUUAAAAUAUAACGUUAGCUUGUCAGGCUAAAAUUACUCUCUGAUUAAAUUACU